This 429-nucleotide ribosomal RNA is filed under the name Acidobacteriota bacterium. RNAcentral's name for it is "Acidobacteria bacterium partial 16S ribosomal RNA". It matches the Rfam family "Bacterial small subunit ribosomal RNA", at positions 355 to 776 of the family's 1533-position model. Lineage: Bacteria; Pseudomonadati; Acidobacteriota. The record is from RNAcentral.
UGGGGAAUUUUGGACAAUGGGGGAAACCCUGAUCCAGCCAUCCCGCGUGUGCGAUGAAGGCCUUCGGGUUGUAAAGCACUUUUGGCAGGAAAGAAACGUCAUGGGUUAAUACCCCGUGAAACUGACGGUACCUGCAGAAUAAGCACCGGCUAACUACGUGCCAGCAGCCGCGGUAAUACGUAGGGUGCACGCGUUAAUCGGAAUUACUGGGCGUAAAGCGUGCGCAGGCGGUUCGGAAAGAAAGAUGUGAAAUCCCAGAGCUCAACUUUGGAACUGCAUUUUUAACUACCGGGCUAGAGUGUGUCAGAGGGAGGUGGAAUUCCGCGUGUAGCAGUGAAAUGCGUAGAUAUGCGGAGGAACACCGAUGGCGAAGGCAGCCUCCUGGGAUAACACUGACGCUCAUGCACGAAAGCGUGGGGAGCAAACAGG